CACCUUUCCUAGUUUAACCCGCCUAUAUACCGCCGUCCGCAAGCUUACCCUGUGAAGGCUAUAUAGUAAGCAAAAAUGACUUAAAUCCAAGACGUCAGGUCGAGGUGUAGCGCAUGGAAAGGAAAGAAAUGGGCUACAUUCCCUACCCCAGGGAACACGAAUAAUACACUGAAACGCGUAUUUGAAGGAGGAUUUAAUAGUAAGUAGAAAAUAGAGUGUCCUACUGAAACCGGCCCUGAAGCGCGCACACACCGCCCGUCACUCUCCCCAAACUCAACCCACUAAAUUAAACUUAAACCAUCAUCUAUGAAAAGGGGAGGCAAGUCGUAACAUGGUAAGUGUACCGGAAGGUGUACUUGGAAUAA
This 365-nucleotide ribosomal RNA is filed under the name Sargocentron diadema (crown squirrelfish). RNAcentral describes it as "partial 12S ribosomal RNA". It matches the Rfam family "Bacterial small subunit ribosomal RNA", at positions 966 to 1533 of the family's 1533-position model. Lineage: Eukaryota; Metazoa; Chordata; Actinopteri; Holocentriformes; Holocentridae. The record is from RNAcentral.